UACGGAGGGUGCAAGCGUUAUCCGGAUUCACUGGGUUUAAAGGGAGCGUAGGUGGGUUGCCAAGUCCGAGGUGAAAUCUCCGAGCUUAACUCGGAAACUGCCUUGGAUACUGGUAGUCUUGAAUAUUGUGGAGGUUAGCGGAAUAUGUCAUGUAGCGGUGAAAUGCUUAGAUAUGACAUAGAACACCAAUUGCGAAGGCAGCUGGCUACACAUAUAUUGACACUGAGGCUCGAAAGCGUGGGGAUCAAAC
Molecule: ribosomal RNA, 250 nt
Filed under: uncultured bacterium
Lineage: Bacteria
Description: partial 16S ribosomal RNA
Rfam family: Bacterial small subunit ribosomal RNA
Source: RNAcentral